CAGACACGCGGCGAUGCACGUGAUCGACAGUGCGCGUGUCGGCCUCUUCGUCAUGUGCUAUAUAAAUGAAGGCGGAGGUUGAGAGAACAUGUGGAAAUCAAACCAGUCUGAAACCUCUGAAAAACUCUUCGUGGGCUGAGAGAGAUACACUGGUAACACUCUGUAAACACUCUGUAACCAACCCAUCUCUAAAACACUCAGCAACCAUAACAUGGCCUCGUCUUCCCGUUCAGCUACCCAGAACAUGGCCUCAUCUUCCCGUGGUCUGCUUACGCUCUUUCCAGAACUGAACGAGUCCACAAGAGAAAUAACUGGUGCGGUGGCCAGUGAACCCCAACCAAACACUUCUGGGUUUGCUCCUUUGAACUUUCCGAUGCGGUCGGUGGAGCAAAAAAUGGCGGUGCAAACUGAUAUUGAGGCCAAUCAGUAUACUCUGAAGUCAUGUGUGGAAACCAUGACUGCGGUUACAAACUUA
Camellia sinensis is the source of this 475-nucleotide non-coding RNA. The record is from RefSeq and is a predicted model, not a curated record. Lineage: Eukaryota; Viridiplantae; Streptophyta; Magnoliopsida; Ericales; Theaceae.